AAGGCGACCAACAGAGUCAUCCAGACAGGAGACAUCGGGAGCCUGUGUGAGGGGCUGAAUGACUGCAGCACCGUCUGUCAGCUCCAGACCUCUUCCAAAAUUGCGCGGAUUGUGUGCAGAAGCUUCUCCCUGGAACACACCGUAGAUUUCAUGAUGGCCAUCAAGGACACCUUCCGGAAGGCCAAAGGAAUGCGUGUGCGUGCUGCUGGCAAGUGGAUGAUCACCUUCCUGCAGAUGUAUGGAAAGGACAUCUGUCGGGAUCUUGAUCUUUCACCGAUCAUCUACAUCCUGCGCAGCUGCAUGUCGUCCCUGCAGCACAGCACGUUCAUGCCAUUCCUGUGCCAGGCGGUGGCCAUCCUCACCCGCUGUCACGCAAACAUCACAAUGGACAGCUUCUUCCACCAGCUGUGAGCCCUCAGACAGGUACUGGCCUUUGCUCCUGCCUUUGCUGUUGCUGCGGUCCCAGCUGUAGCUUGCCUCUGCCAGAGGGAUCCUGGGAGGAAGCAGCAUGGUGCAAAUUACUCAGUCAUGACUUGAG
RNAcentral lists this long non-coding RNA (538 nucleotides) under Gallus gallus (chicken). RNAcentral's name for it is "lncRNA (ENSGALG00010003060.1)". The record is from RNAcentral. Lineage: Eukaryota; Metazoa; Chordata; Aves; Galliformes; Phasianidae.